This is a non-coding RNA of Pelobates cultripes (western spadefoot toad), 212 nucleotides long. The record is from the annotation of a GenBank genome assembly. NCBI's taxonomy places the organism in Eukaryota, Metazoa, Chordata, Amphibia, Anura, Pelobatidae.
GAAGUUGAUUCGCAAUUCUCACAAAUAGUCCGAGUCCAGCACUGAAGGGGACCCACACAGGGGUCACAACAUAUUAUACACCAUUAUACAACAGUUAGAAGUCGUUGUGGUUGACUGCCAGGCAGCUACUGCCAAAGGAGGUUGUGUAUUGUUCGUAAAAGUAAAUGUAGUGAUGACCUGAGGGGUAUGGCCGAGUCGGUAAGCGAUGCCCG